This 492-nucleotide ribosomal RNA is filed under the name uncultured bacterium. RNAcentral describes it as "bacterial SSU rRNA". It matches the Rfam family "Bacterial small subunit ribosomal RNA", at positions 15 to 518 of the family's 1533-position model. The record is from RNAcentral.
GAUCAUGGCUCAGAACGAACGCUGGUGGCGUGUCUUAUACAUGCAAGUCGAGCGAGGCAGCAAUGCCGAGCGGCGAACGGGUGAGUAACGCGUAAGCAAUCUGCCCCAUAUCAGGAAAUACCCGUGCCAACGCGCGGUUAAUGUCCAGGAGAGUGGCCCUCUGCAUGGAGGGUUGACUAGAGAUUUAUCGGUAUGGGAUGAGCUUGCGUCCGAUUAGCUAGUUGGCGGGGCAACGGCCCACCAAGGCGACGAUCGGUAGCCGGCCUGAGAGGGUGAUCGGCCACAUUGGGACUGAGAUACGGCCCAGACUCCUACGGGAGGCAGCAGUAGGGAAUAUUGCACAAUGGGGGAAACCCUGAUGCAGCAACGCCACGUGUGGGAAGAAAGCAUUUCGGUGUGUAAACCACUGUCAUGAGGGAAUAAGGCCUGUCUUCGGGCAGGAUUGAAUGUACCUUGAGAGGAAGCACCGGCAAACUUCGUGCCAGCCGCUGC